GAUGAACGCUGGCGGCGUGCCUAAUACAUGCAAGUCGAGCGAACGGACGAGAAGCUUGCUUCUCUGAUGUUAGCGGCGGACGGGUGAGUAACACGUGGAUAACCUACCUAUAAGACUGGGAUAACUACGGGAAACCGUAGCUAAUACAGGAUAAUAUUUUGAACCGCAUGGUUCAAAAGUGAAAGACGGUCUUGCUGUCACUUAUAGAUGGAUCCGCGCUGGAUUAGCUAGUUGGUAAGGUAACGGCUUACCAAGGCAACGAUGCAUAGCCGACCUGAGAGGGUGAUCGGCCACACUGGAACUGAGACACGGUCCAGACUCCUACGGGAGGCAGCAGUGGGGAAUCUUCGGCAAUGGGCGCAAGCCUGACGCAGCAACGCCGCGUGAGUGAUGAAGGUCUUCGGAUCGUAAAACUCUUUUAUUAGGGAAGAACAUAUGUGUAAGAAACUGUGCACAUCUUGACGGUACCUAAUCAAAAAGCCACGGCUAACUACGUG
RNAcentral lists this ribosomal RNA (497 nucleotides) under uncultured bacterium. RNAcentral's name for it is "partial 16S ribosomal RNA". It matches the Rfam family "Bacterial small subunit ribosomal RNA", at positions 28 to 507 of the family's 1533-position model. The record is from RNAcentral.